UGAGGGAAAGGCGAAAAGAACCCCGGCGAGGGGAGUGAAAAAGAACCUGAAACCGUGUACGUACAAGCAGUGGGAGCACGCUUAGGCGUGUGACUGCGUACCUUUUGUAUAAUGGGUCAGCGACUUAUAUUCUGUAGCAAGGUUAACCGAAUAGGGGAGCCGAAGGGAAACCGAGUCUUAACUGGGCGUUAAGUUGCAGGGUAUAGACCCGAAACCCGGUGAUCUAGCCAUGGGCAGGUUGAAGGUUGGGUAACACUAACUGGAGGACCGAACCGACUAAUGUUGAAAAAUUAGCGGAUGACUUGUGGCUGGGGGUGAAAGGCCAAUCAAACCGGGAGAUAGCUGGUUCUCCCCGAAAGCUAUUUAGGUAGCGCCUCGUGAAUUCAUCUCCGGGGGUAGAGCACUGUUUCGGCAAGGGGGUCAUCCCGACUUACCAACCCGAUGCAAACUGCGAAUACCGGAGAAUGUUAUCACGGGAGACACACGGCGGGUGCUAACGUCCGUCGUGAAGAGGGAAACAACCCAGACCGCCAGCUAAGGUCCCAAAGUCAUGGUUAAGUGGGAAACGAUGUGGGAAGGCCCAGACAGCCAGGAUGUUGGCUUAGAAGCAGCCAUCAUUUAAAGAAAGCGUAAUAGCUCACUGGUCGAGUCGGCCUGCGCGGAAGAUGUAACG
This 673-nucleotide ribosomal RNA is filed under the name Escherichia coli. Its description in RNAcentral is "partial 23S ribosomal RNA". It matches the Rfam family "Bacterial large subunit ribosomal RNA", at positions 504 to 1177 of the family's 2925-position model. Lineage: Bacteria; Pseudomonadati; Pseudomonadota; Gammaproteobacteria; Enterobacterales; Enterobacteriaceae. The record is from RNAcentral.